CCUACGGGAGGCAGCAGUGGGGAAUAUUGCACAAUGGGGGAAACCCUGAUGCAGCGACGCCGCGUGAGUGAGGAAGUAUUUCGGUAUGUAAAGCUCUAUCAGCAGGGAAGAAAAUGACGGUACCUGACUAAGAAGCCCCGGCUAACUACGUGCCAGCAGCCGCGGUAAUACGUAGGUGGCGAGCGUUAUCCGGAAUGAUUGGGCGUAAAGGGUGCGUAGGCGGCCUGCUAAGUCUGGAGUGAAAGGUACCGGCUCAACCGGUACAGGCUCUGGAAACUGGCGGGCUAGAGAGCAGGAGAGGGCGG
Molecule: ribosomal RNA, 305 nt
Filed under: uncultured bacterium
Lineage: Bacteria
Description: bacterial SSU rRNA
Rfam family: Bacterial small subunit ribosomal RNA
Source: RNAcentral